AGGACGAACGCUGGCGCGUGCCUAAUACAUGCAAGUCGAACGGUCUUUCUAUGGAAGCUUGCUUCCACUGAGAAGAUAGUGGCGAACGGGUGAGUAACACGUGGGUAACCUGCCCAUAAGAGGGGGGAUAACAUCCGGAAACGGGUGCUAAUACCGCAUAGUUUUCUUGAUCGCAUGAUCGGGAAAGGAAAGACGGCCUUUGUGCUGUCGCUUAUGGAUGGACCCGCGGCGUAUUAGUUAGUUGGUGAGGUAACGGCUCACCAAGACGAUGAUACGUAGCCGACCUGAGAGGGUGAUCGGCCACAUUGGGACUGAGACACGGCCCAAACUCCUACGGGAGGCAGCAGUAGGGAAUCUUCCGCAAUGGACGAAAGUCUGACGGAGCAACGCCGCGUGAGUGAAGAAAGGUUUUCGGAUCGUAAAACUCUGUUGUCAGAGAAGAACAAGUUGGAGAGUAACUGCUCCAGCCUUGACGGUAUCUGACCAGAAAGCCACGGCUAACUACGUGCCAGCAGCCGC
Molecule: ribosomal RNA, 519 nt
Filed under: uncultured bacterium
Lineage: Bacteria
Description: bacterial SSU rRNA
Rfam family: Bacterial small subunit ribosomal RNA
Source: RNAcentral